GAAACUGCUGCUGGGUCUGGAGAGGUGAAGACCCGUGGCCAGCUUCUGUUGUUGCCAUCGGCCAUUGCUUUUUGUUCGCUUGCUUUUGGUUUUGCAAGAAGAGCGGCCUCUGUCUCUGAUCUGCUUCAAAUCAUCAUUCCAUCAGUGACAGAAGUGGCUGUUCCAUCAGUGGUCGCAGCCAGUUCAGCUCCUGCAUCCAUCCCCAAGUGUUCUGAGUGGAAUUUGAGGCCUCCCCAACCACCUACCAAAAAAGGAGGGUGAAAUGAAAGGAAGAAGAAAAACUCAGCAUUCUUUCCUCUGACAAAGAGUAAAACGACAAGGAAUAUCGGCCUGAAUUCUCUUCCCAAGAAGAAAGAAAGCACACCAACGCAGGCAUUUGUCUUCUGUCCAUGGUGCUGAAGUUUAUUCACUUUCAAACCACUUUCAGUAACAGGUCUGCGUUGGACACGGCAUUGUACAUGGGAUUAGCUCUGGUCUGACCUAGGAGCUGGAAUGCCAGUAAAAGGAGGAAGCUCACGGUGGUGGUGGAGAAGGAGCUCAUGCUGGCGUCGUCAAGGAGCAAUCCACUGCUUGCUGCUCUGUCUCUCCCCUCUGGUUCCUCUCUGGUUCCCCUCUCUUGGCCUACGUCUGUCCCUGUCUCCCAGCUGCCCAGUGCCGCCUCUUUUUAUAGCCCCCCAGCUCUCCAAGCACGCAGGAGAGACAGAACCCUCCCCAUUCUGUCACUUGCAGUGAUAAAGCUGCCAAGUGAGAAGCCAGCAGGAGAUGCCCUUUUAAAGUUAUCAUCCCGCAGGGCUUGUCACAGCCCCUCUCUGCCUUGGGCAGCCCCAACAGCCCCCCAGACCCUCAGCUGCAAGAGCCGCAUUCUUACUGAUUUGACUCAAGAGGCUCCCACUUCAAAGGUGUGAGAAGAGUAAAAAAGAGUCCUUGGUUAUCUCA
Molecule: long non-coding RNA, 936 nt
Filed under: Homo sapiens (human)
Lineage: Eukaryota; Metazoa; Chordata; Mammalia; Primates; Hominidae
Description: long non-coding RNA NONHSAT000923
Rfam family: NPPA antisense RNA 1 conserved region 2 (bases 216-364)
Source: RNAcentral